RNAcentral lists this ribosomal RNA (406 nucleotides) under uncultured bacterium. RNAcentral's name for it is "partial 16S ribosomal RNA". It matches the Rfam family "Bacterial small subunit ribosomal RNA", at positions 30 to 526 of the family's 1533-position model. The record is from RNAcentral.
AUCGAACGCUGGCGGCAGGCCUAAUACACGCAAGUAGAGCGAGCGGCGGACGGGUGAGGAAUGUAUGGGCAUCUGCCCGACAGAGGGGGACAACUACUGGAAACCGUGCCUAAUACUGCAUACUACGGGAUCAACCCACGUGGGAGUAGCUAGUAGUUGGGGUAAAGGCUCACCUAGGCGACGAUCCCUAGCUGGUCUGAGAAGAUGAUCAGCCACACUAGGACAGAGACACGGCCAAGACUCCUACGGGAGGCAGCAGUUGGGAAUUUUAGUCAAUGGACGCAAGGCGGAUAGAGCCAUGCCGCGUGAAUGAAGAAGUCCUUAGGGUUGUAAAGUACUUUCGGCGGGGAGGCGUUACCCGCAGAGGAAGCACCGGCUAACUCCAUGCCAGCAGCCGCGGUAAUAC